Molecule: long non-coding RNA, 616 nt
Organism: Bombyx mandarina (wild silkworm)
Lineage: Eukaryota; Metazoa; Arthropoda; Insecta; Lepidoptera; Bombycidae
Source: RefSeq, a predicted model, not a curated record
GAAACAUUAAGAUACACAGUGUCUCUAGAAUAAAUAUUGGCCAUGUACCAUACGGAUCUGAAAUGAACUGCUCUCCAUUGUGUCUCUGGGGUCUGGGAACCACCAGUACUAGGUUUAUUAGUUUGGAACAAAAGUUGAACACAAAGAAGAUUUUUUACUACACACGUCCUAAAGACGAAAAAGCAAUUAUAUUAGUUCGACGUUGCUGCUAUUAGCGCUGGAGCUACCUGCGGCGCUGCUCUAUAAUUACGCCCUGAGUGACAUUUUCGAAGCUUUUGUAAGCGAUAACACGGAAGCUGCGUCAGAAACUUAAAAAAGCAAAUUCGCACAAAUCAAACAUUGAAGUGUUAAAUUUUUCUUUACAAAGGGCUUUAGAAGUCGCACGACGGGGAUCUCGCAGGAGAAGCAUUAUGAUACGGGAUCAUUAGUUAGCAAAUGUCAAACUCAAUUGAAAUCGUUUCUUAUUGACAGCAUUUUUGCCCUGAUCGUACAACAAGAAGACAACUUAAGCAAAUAAAGAUCUUGAGUAAUGAUUAAUGAUUUUUACACUAUGAAAUAAAUUCAAGAUCACAGAUUCUAAUUUGGAAUAAUAAAUCUAAAACAUUACAUAUUCGCA